GGGCCCGUAGCUCAGUUGGUUAGAGCAGAGGACUCAUAAUCCUUUGGUCCACGGUUCAAGUCCGUGCGGGCCCACCA
This 77-nucleotide transfer RNA is filed under the name Nitrosomonas ureae. Its description in RNAcentral is "tRNA-Ile". It matches the Rfam family "tRNA". Rfam says of the family: Transfer RNA (tRNA) molecules are approximately 80 nucleotides in length. Their secondary structure includes four short double-helical elements and three loops (D, anti-codon, and T loops). RNAcentral also lists the same sequence under 12 other names. The record is from RNAcentral. Lineage: Bacteria; Pseudomonadati; Pseudomonadota; Betaproteobacteria; Nitrosomonadales; Nitrosomonadaceae.